Curvularia kusanoi is the source of this 109-nucleotide non-coding RNA. Lineage: Eukaryota; Fungi; Ascomycota; Dothideomycetes; Pleosporales; Pleosporaceae. The record is from the annotation of a GenBank genome assembly.
GACACGAUGGCCGAGUGGUCUAAGGCGGUAGAUUUAAGCUUUUGAUGAACGCAAGACGCUCAAAUCUCUACUACAGAAAUGUGCGUGGGUUCGAACCCCACUCGUGUCA